CGGGUGCUAACGUCCGUCGUGAAGAGGGAAACAACCCAGACCGCCAGCUAAGGUCCCAAAGUCAUGGUUAAGUGGGAAACGAUGUGGGAAGGCCCAGACAGCCAGGAUGUUGGCUUAGAAGCAGCCAUCAUUUAAAGAAAGCGUAAUAGCUCACUGGUCGAGUCGGCCUGCGCGGAAGAUGUAACGGGGCUAAACCAUGCACCGAAGCUGCGGCAGCGAACGUAUCACCCAAGACAACUUUACGGAGUUGACGAUUGACGGAGCGAAGCGACGUCAAAGCGUUCAUUAAAGUCGAGUUGGCUUAGGGAUACGUUCGUUGGGUAGGGGAGCGUUCUGUAAGCCUGUGAAGGUGUGUCGUGAGGCAUGCUGGAGGUAUCAGAAGUGCGAAUGCUGACAUAAGUAACGAUAAAGCGGGUGAAAAGCCCGCUCGCCGGAAGACCAAGGGUUCCUGUCCAACGUUAAUCGGGGCAGGGUGAGUCGACCCCUAAGGCGAGGCCGAAAGGCGUAGUCGAUGGGAAACGGGUUAAUAUUCCCGUACUUGGUGUUACUGCGAAGGGGGGACGGAGAAGGCUAUGUUGGCCGGGCGACGGUUGUCCCGGUUUAAGCGUGUAGGUGUGUGUUCCAGGUAAAUCCGGUUCACUUUAACACUGAGGCGUGACGACGAGGCACUACGGUGCUGAAGCAACAAAUGCCCUGCUUCCAGGAAAAGCCUCUAAGCAUCAGGUAACACGAAAUCGUACCCCAAACCGACACAGGUGGUCAGGUAGAGAAUACCAAGGCGCUUGAGAGAACUCGGGUGAAGGAACUAGGCAAAAUGGUGCCGUAACUUCGGGAGAAGGCACGCUGACACGUAGGUGAAGUGAUUUACUCAUGGAGCUGAAGUCAGUCGAAGAUACCAGCUGGCUGCAACUGUUUAUUAAAAACACAGCACUGUGCAAACACGAAAGUGGACGUAUACGGUGUGACGCCUGCCCGGUGCCGGAAGGUUAAUUGAUGGGGUCAGCGUAAGCGAAGCUCCUGAUCGAAGCCCCGGUAAACGGCGGCCGUAACUAUAACGGUCCUAAGGUAGCGAAAUUCCUUGUCGGGUAAGUUCCGACCUGCACGAAUGGCGUAAUGAUGGCCAGGCUGUCUCCACCCGAGACUCAGUGAAAUUGAACUCGCUGUGAAGAUGCAGUGUACCCGCGGCAAGACGGAAAGACCCCGUGAACCUUUACUAUAGCUUGACACUGAACAUUGAGCCUUGAUGUGUAGGAUAGGUGGGAGGCUUUGAAGUGUGGACGCCAGUCUGCAUGGAGCCGACCUUGAAAUACCACCCUUUAAUGUUUGAUGUUCUAACGUGGACCCGUAAUCCGGGUUGCGGACAGUGUCUGGUGGGUAGUUUGACUGGGGCGGUCUCCUCCUAAAGAGUAACGGAGGAGCACGAAGGUUGGCUAAUCCUGGUCGGACAUCAGGAGGUUAGUGCAAUGGCAUAAGCCAGCUUGACUGCGAGCGUGACGGCGCGAGCAGGUGCGAAAGCAGGUCAUAGUGAUCCGGUGGUUCUGAAUGGAAGGGCCAUCGCUCAACGGAUAAAAGGUACUCCGGGGAUAACAGGCUGAUACCGCCCAAGAGUUCAUAUCGACGGCGGUGUUUGGCACCUCGAUGUCGGCUCAUCACAUCCUGGGGCUGAAGUAGGUCCCAAGGGUAUGGCUGUUCGCCAUUUAAAGUGGUACGCGAGCUGGGUUUAGAACGUCGUGAGACAGUUCGGUCCCUAUCUGCCGUGGGCGCUGGAGAACUGAGGGGGGCUGCUCCUAGUACGAGAGGACCGGAGUGGACGCAUCACUGGUGUUCGGGUUGUCAUGCCAAUGGCACUGCCCGGUAGCUAAAUGCGGAAGAGAUAAGUGCUGAAAGCAUCUAAGCACGAAACUUGCCCCGAGAUGAGUUCUCCCUGAGACUUAGAGUCUCCUGAAGGAACGUUGAAGACGACGACGUUGAUAGGCCGGGUGUGUAAGCGCAGCGAUGCGUUGAGCUAACCGGUACUAAUGAACCGUGAGGCUUAACCUUACA
RNAcentral lists this ribosomal RNA (2043 nucleotides) under Salmonella enterica subsp. enterica. RNAcentral's name for it is "partial 23S ribosomal RNA". It matches the Rfam family "Bacterial large subunit ribosomal RNA", at positions 992 to 2925 of the family's 2925-position model. Lineage: Bacteria; Pseudomonadati; Pseudomonadota; Gammaproteobacteria; Enterobacterales; Enterobacteriaceae. The record is from RNAcentral.